AAGGUCUUGGACUAGUCAAGACCUAUCUGAAGGAUGUAAAGCUUCCAAGAAAUUGAUUGAAACAGGUGAUAAAGACCAAAAUGUUGGGAGAGAUUUGACUUUAAGUGGAAUGGCUUUUAAAAAUCAGAGUUUAUCAAAAUCUGCAUUGGCAUCUAGCAAUAAAAGAAGUCAUGGUAUGUUUGUAAUGGAUUUGAACAAAACAUUCGAUAAUCCGAAGACGUCACCCAUUUUAGAGAGAGGUAGCUCGACAACCAGUGUUGAAAGUUUGCCAACAAAAUGUGAAGGUAUUGAAAAUUCUGUUUCUAACUAUUCUAGUCCUAUCAAACUCAUGUUUUUAUCUGAGAUUAAAAGCAGUGAAGGAGUCAAAUACACUUUAACUUCAGUCAGCACAUCACAGUCAAAU
This 403-nucleotide long non-coding RNA is filed under the name Rattus norvegicus (Norway rat). Its description in RNAcentral is "long non-coding RNA NONRATT009411". Lineage: Eukaryota; Metazoa; Chordata; Mammalia; Rodentia; Muridae. The record is from RNAcentral.